Unclassified non-coding RNA from Rhipicephalus microplus (southern cattle tick), 15464 nucleotides. Lineage: Eukaryota; Metazoa; Arthropoda; Arachnida; Ixodida; Ixodidae. The record is from RefSeq and is a predicted model, not a curated record.
UCUUGUUUCCGGCUUUUCGUUUCGGACUUCUCAGCUGUUUCAGCCAAGCGUUUCGGCCAAGCAUCAGCGAUUAUCUCUCCGCGUCAACAUCGUGCGCUUUGCUGGACUACGCGAAUUUGAAGGAUCGGCCCAAGCACGGCUUUUUCGAGCUGCCCUGUUCCAGUGCACCUAUCUGACCUGGUCGGUUGGUGAUGGAGGCGGAUGGCCGAAGCCGCAUUCCGAGCCUUCUGAGGCGCAGUGCCUCCAUGCGAGUGCGAGGGGAGCGACAUCCCAACGGGUGCUGCCCGUCCGCCGAUGGUGACUCGGUGGGAAGCACAGCUAGCCUAGUGUCCUGUGGUUCGGCCUCUGCACAACCAGCUUCCUCGCAGCAGCCAGCUCCAGUGGAGACAGCAGUGUCAUGUCACCGGCGAGGCAGCUGCCGUUCCGUGCUGCACUGCCAGCGUCCUGUGGACACCGACACUUACCUGACACCCACACAGCGCAAGGACCGUGAACUUCGACAGUUACGGGCGGCCUUGGCACGAGCCACUACAGAGGCUCGCUUGCGUGACGAACGUUUGCGUGAACUUACGGCCCAGCUGCAGUCACUGCAAACUUCACAGGACUCGUCAGUUGGAGGCUCAGCCGCGGAAGAGCGUGCAGCAGGUGUCUCACUGGGUGACAGUGGUGUGAGCAGUGAUGUGCUGCCCUCGCACCCCGAGAGUGUUCUAGAGGAAGAGGAUGCCAAUGGAGCACAGGCAGAGGCAGCUUCUGGGUGUACCGAGCCUGACAGAGCUGAGAGCGGAGACUCGGAGGACUCGACCGAGUCGCUGCCUGAGGAACGGCGCCAUUCUUCAGAGACGCUGCGCCGCAAGUACAGACAGUUGAAGCAUCGUUACGAGCAGCGCACCGAAAGCCUGUUGCAGAUGCUGGGAGACCUGAAUGCCAACAUUGCGGAGAGACAGCCCCGUGAAACCCCAGCAGGCCCGUCUUACCAGGCAGACCGAUGCGCUGUGGCAGCACGUGUCCACGUGCCAGUCGACGUGCAUCACCAGGUACCUGGAGCUUCGGCCAGCAUACGAGAGCACCCAAGAGCGCCUGCGCCACUUGGAACGGGAACUUUCGGAGGCACGAGCUGAAAUUGAAAAGCAAGAGCGCUGGCACAGUGAGAUGUACCUCAAGAUGUACAGGAAGGGCCAGGAAGCAGCACAGUUUGAGCGAAGCGAGGAAGUGCAGCCCAGUCCGUCAACGCUGCCCUCCUUCCGCGGCGCACCCAGCACCGAGCGGCAGGCGGAGUACACACUGCGCUUCCUCAAGGAUGCCGUGUUCUACUUCCUGACAGACCGGUCCGACUGCCGGGGACAUCUGAGCGCCAUCCAGUCCAUCCUGGGCUUCUCGGAGGCCGAGCGCGCAGCCGUGGCCAAGGCAUGGCGACACAGGGGUCGUCUCUGAAAAAACCCUGCCCCUAAGGUGCUUCCUCAAAGGUUUUUAGAGGAGCAGGAAAGGAUUAGGAGUGUAGCAGAUGCUGUUGUCCACGAAUGCUCCAGCUACAUUGUGGUGUUCUACGCUUCUUCUAUUUCUGCGUGGUAAGAAGGGGUCCCAAUGGGCACGUACAAUGCUUGAAUGAUUCCCGACCUUUAUCAGAAAUUUGAACCCUGGUACACUGCUUCUUUGAUGAGCUCUCAUUUCACACUUGUUGAAGGAGUUGACAAUAGUGAGGAAUCCUGAAAGGGAGAGGCUGCAUUAAUGGGCAGCUAUUGGUCACGCGCAACUUGACCCAUUACAUCUUGUACUGCGCUUUGUCGUUAAAAGCACGAAGACUCUCUUGACAGGUUCUACACUUAGAAUGCCCUUGAAGUAUAUAUACCAAAGAGCUUUUUCUUGAUAUAGGUGAUGAGCUGCUAUAGUUGAAUCAUCACUGGGGUUGUUUUUUCUUUAUCCCAAUGAAAGACUGCCUCGCAGUGCAGAGUUUACAAACAUAAAUAACAACUCUGUGACAACCCUGUUAGUAUUCAGUGAUCACUAUAGAUGUAUCUUGGCUCUACUUUGUGAAGUCAUCGUCUCGGUCACUGUGAGGGUUAGACUCUAAAUGAUAGUAAUACUGGUACUUCAUGCAUUGAUACUUUCUUAUACCUUGCUGUAGAACUAUAAUGUAGUUCAAGGUGUCCACUGUCUGUGAGAAAACCACGUUUCAUCAUGAGUUGAGACCCUUUGUUGUUCGUACUAUUCAUUCAAGGUUAUCAAGUGAUAUCAUUGAGCUACAUAACUGAAAGCAAUGUUUCAACAAAGAGACGACUGUAUUUUUUUUUCUCUCUGUUGAAUAAUUCACUGCAUAAAGCAUUUAUUGGACUGCCAGUGAUGUAAGUGCUGCUCCAAUUGCUCCAAACUGCUCCAAAGAAAGCUGCUGCUCUGCGCUGCUCUAAACAGCAAUCUUUGUUAAUAAUUGCUCCAAACCUGCACUGAAAUGACUAAGAUAAUCAGAAUUUUGAAAUUUUACUCUUUGACUGACUGAUAAGUUCUAAAGAAACUGAAAAGAAUCAGUGUACUAUCAUCCUAGUGUGCUACUAGUGUGCAGCAUUAUCAGCUGACAAAAUCUGGCGUAUCACGCAUAUAGCUCAUUUGGCUGUUUCUUUUUUCUAGGGGCGAAGCUCCUUAUGGUGUGGCUUGUGCGUUCUGUUGUCCAAGUGUGUAACCAGUGGCACAUACCCGCCCUCGGGCACACAUCUGCAUGUCCACAUGUUACGAAAAACGUAGCACGGAGUCGUUAUCACGCUCUCAGUGUUAACAAAGCGCUGACAGAAAAAAUGUGGUACAUACUCUCGUUUAGUCCUUGGAUUGUCCAAUGAAUGGCAGUAGUUGCAUAUGAUGAGUAUAUGAUAAAAAGAAGCGAGAUGGCGCUACUUAAAGUGUUCACUAGAUAGGCAGACGGAUGUACAGAUGGAUGCGUGAAUGGACAGACAGACAAGCGGAUGGACAGACAGACAGACAGACACACGCACCGAGGCAGAAACGGGCACACGUACGGACGGACAGAUGCGCGGACGGACGCUUCGCCCCACUCAUCAUGAUUCAUUCCAUAGAUAUGCUGUGAUAUUUUUUUUUCAACUAGUCAUGCAGGCUAGUAUGGUAAAAUGUAAAAACAAGCAGGAUUGCGUUUAUCUCAUAUCGACUACCCACUGCUUAUUUGACAACAGUUAUGUGGGACUAAGGUUACUUCUAAAAUGUGGCACUCAGCUUUUCCGCUUUGAUUUGAUUUGAUAUCUGUUACAAAUACUAGUGUUUUGAAUUGUAGCUCAUUUCACAGAACCUUUUUGACAAUCUGCCAUUGUUUGCCUCACGAUAUUUACAUUGAUUGUUAUUUGUUAAAUAUAUUUCUUAAGAAAUAUCAAUAUUUACGAGAUUUUAUGGCACUGCUCUGAAAUUAUUGUAAGGCAAAUUUACAAUCUGCUUCUAAAACAUCAGUAGCUGUUCUAAACUAGCAUUUUUUUUCUGCUCCAAAAACACUUAUGUUCCUGUUCUAAAGUAUGCUCCAAAAGGUAAUAAGGCACUUCCAUCACUGGAAGGCACAACUUGUUUUUUGUUUUGAAAGCUCAUCGUCUGCUAUUUCACCUUGUUAUGUAUUCUAAUGUUUUGUCAGAGUUGAGCUGUUGAUUUUGUUACAGGCAAGGCUCGUCUCCUUGCAAGCCACUUGUAGUUGAGGGUAAAGGCAUCUGCAUUUCAUGCAGCAGCUCUCCAAAUGAAAUUGAUGUCUGAUGCUGUCUUCUAUGUUUGUUUUAACAGACAAUGCACAGAACCACCGCAUUGGCAUCGACCACUUCCUAAAUCAAAUUGAAUGUUUCCAUUUCCACAGCUGUACUUCGAUGCCUCAUAAUGUCGGAAGACAGAUGUAUGCUUAAUGGUAAACAUACGACAAUGGGAGAACUAAGGCUGGACCUCUAAAGGGCCACUCACUAGCACUUUUGGAAAUGUGGAUUGCACACUGAAAGUCAUGAGGCACAACCUAGGGAGAACUUUAUUAGAGGGAAUUUUCGGAAUGGUUCGCUAAGUAACAGGGAACUGCAUGGACCUGUGAUCAUGCCUCAGAGAAGCUGGUUUCGCCGCAAGGGUGAAUGCUCUGCUAGAGUAUGCAGGGGACGUAGCCUCUUGAGUCCUUCGAACUGUUAAUGACAAGGGCUUCCAUAACGUACACAAAUUUGAGAGUUUGGCAGAAUCCCGCCUGGCCGGGGAAAGACAUGCACUAGAAAAAGACAUUGCUGACUAAAGUGAAAAUAUGUUCUUAAAAAGAUGUUUCAGGUCCUACACUGGGAGCUGAAACAUCUGUUUAAGAAUACAAUAUAAUUUUACUUUGGUCUGCAUCAUGUAUAUGUAACGAGAUCUGCCUCCUCGUUUCCUUUUCAUGGUGUCUCUGCUUUGCUUCAUGCUCCAUUCCCAGUGGUUACUUCACUCACAGUGGAUGAAGAACUGAACCCGUGAGGUGUGGUCAGUGACAUUCCAAGUAGCAUCUGUUGGGCAUUACUACAACUCUCUCCAAGUGUGUCUCUCUCAAAAGGGAGGCACUCUUGCAGCCUUCUGUUUACAUUUGGACUACUCAUGUGCUAGCAGGCAUGUCCUGAUUUACAGGCACUAUGGGUUCUGACUUAUCCACACCCUUUGUCUAUUCGUUAUCAAUCCUCAAAACUACAUAGAUAGCACAGGGUAUGCAUUCAACUUGCAUGAAUUAGUAGAUAUCUUUAUCUGAAUGUUUGUUUUAAUUUUUUUACUGACUUUUGCCUUAUCCAUGCAAGUACUUGUCCAACGAAACAACUUUCUUUUAGCUGAUAAUAGACGCUCGCAGUCUGCUCUGUUGAAUCUUCCACUUCGUGGUUCAGAGUGAAACUACAUUCAGGAGAGUGUAGAGUAUUGAAGCUUGUCAGUGCCUAAGCAGCACAUAUAAAUUUUUUUUCAUUUUGUAGAAGUUCGACAACAAAUGACAUCAAAGAUGUUAUUUUUUUUUAUCUAAACAAUGAUGCAUUGUUGGGUAAAGCUGCAAGGUAGCUUUUCAGACAAGUCAAAUGUUCAUUAAUGUGAUUUUGGUGCUGAAUCUGGUUUGAUAGGAUGCUGGCAACGCACCUCUUGGGCAUAUCCCCCAGCCUGCUCAGCUUGGUCUAGUAGAACAGGUCUGCUCAUUCAGGCCCUAGUGUUCAGCAUGUGCACACCAGCUGCUCCACUCGUUGGCAGCAGGCCGCAAAAAGUACUCUGCUAAAUGCUAAAACAGUUUACUGUACGCCUUGUCUUGCGGAAAUGUUCUGGAAGGCUAGCGGAAGUGCUCCUUGUGAACAAGCAUAAUACUGUGAUGGCGGCAUGAAAAAAAUAGCUUAGACAUUAGACAAAUAGCUUAGCUUCUAACAAAUUUCACAUGUGCACGACAGGAGUGUAACGAAAUUUCAUAUGUGAAAAAAAUAACCAACUUAAAAACAAAUUUAUAGAAUAUAUCUGCAGUGUACCACAUUCUUUUGUAGUAAAAUCUGUUUCUUUGUUUCCUUGGAAGAGGAACAAAGGGAUCACGUUGCAGUGAUGAAUUAUUGUCUUGGGUGUGUGUGUAUUCCAUCACACUUGGUCUUCAUGCUGGGAGACACCACAUGUUUUCUGACUAGCCUCUGCAUUGGCCCAACCAAAAAAUGUACAAAUGAUAAGUUGCAGGGGACACAGGAGAAAAAUUAAGUAUGCUGUGGGAAAUGCUAUUGUGAGCAGUAGCGAGUAGCAAAAUGAUGGGUUUGGUUACGUUAAUAAGGAACAUACUAGUAGCAUGCAUUAGUAUUGCAUCCAUUUUAUUAUCAACAAAAAAGCUACUACAGUUAUACCUCGAUGUGACACUGUAUAAUGAAAUUCACUAUAAUGCAUUUCAAUUUUAUUCUUUAUGUUUGGAAAAAAUGUACAAUUUUAAUGUCAGUGCAAUGAAGUGCGUUUACCAGCAAUUUCACAGAAUGCUAUAUAAUGUUCCAGUGCAAAGCAUGCCCAGAGUACAAGACCAUGCUUUGCACUGCUGUCUAAUAUCAUGCACGUGUAUUUUCUAAUGCUCCUGCAAAUGGACAUUCGCCACCUUGUGCACCUUCUGAGAUGUGCAUGUUCAGCUGACGAAAAAACUCUAAUGGCAUGAUGUACAGUUUAACCCUUUUUGUACUACUGACGAGUAUACCAUAUUUACUCGAUCGUAAGUCCACUCGAUUGUAAGUCAACCCUCUGAAAACUGCAAGGCAAAAAACAAAAACAAAAACCAAAAAGGCCAAACAUUUAAUUAUGAUGUCUCCAAAAGGAACAAAAUCAAAUUCUGGUGUGUCAAAGUGGCUUCACGGCAGUGCUUAAAAGCUGCGCAGAAAAAACUAGCAUCAUGGUAAUAUGCAGGCAUUGUUUUCAGAAAGAAACUAGAUUUCUAUUCUAGGUCGACUCCCCAACUCCGGAUUUAAAAUGAAGACUAAUUGGUUCGACCUACAAUCGUGUAAGUAUGGUAGUCAUUGUGAGCUUUCAUACUAAAUGGUCAGUGACGGCAAUACCCGUCAUCCAACAAAAAUUGGUCCCACAUAGAACCCAUAAAGAAUAUAUAUACUUGCUGUAGUUUUGUUUCUUGGCAUUAAAUGGCCAAACUUGCAAAAUUUUUGGGUGUAGCGCCACAUAUGAAAUUGUAAUAAAGAAGUUGACAGCAAAGAAGCGCACUAGUAACUAAUCUUUAUUUUGUGGCACUUACACUUAUACAGCCAAGGAACCAGGUAUUACUGAUAAAUUAAAAAUACUUGUUCUAGCUCCCUCCCAGUAACAUCUGUACUUGCACCCCUCUUGUUCCUAAUAUAUAUUAAUGAUCUUCCUGUUCAUGCAUCUUCCCAUAUCCGUUUAUUUGCCGACGACUGUGUCAUCUAUCGCACAGUUACUAACAUUUCUGAUCAAACUACACUCCCAACAGGAUCUUGAUCUCGUGCAACAGUAGUGUGACCUUUGGUUAAUGAAGCUUAACCCCACUAAAUGCAAACUCGUCUCAUUUCAACGCCAGUGUAAUCCUUUAUCAUUCUCAUACCUAAUCUCUAAUUCCGCUAUAGAAGAAGUUCAUUCAUAUAAAUACCUAGGCGUCACCUUAAUAUCUGACCUUUCCUGGAACACACACAUCAACAACAUCAUAUCAUCCACGAACAGAUCCCUCAGUUUCCUUAAGCGUCAUUUGCGUCAUGCACCAGUAAACAUAAAACUUCUGGCUUACAAAUCGCUCAUCAGACCUAAACUAGAAUAUGCAGCACUCAUCUGGAGCCCGCACCAGAUAUACCUAAUAAACGAAAUAGAAUCUGUACAAAAUCGUCCCACUAGGUUCAAGCAUAUCAUCCCUAAAACGUGAUAUUGAUGUUGCUAAUCUUUCUGUGCGUCGCCGCAUCGCCAGCCUCUGUUUGAUUCACAAGUUUUUUCACAGUUCCCUCAAUUAAGCAUCUUACAUUAUCCCACCAACGUGCAUAUCUCACCGCACGACCCAUCCUUAUUCAAUCGCACGCGCACGCGCUCGCACUACUACUUUUGCUGCCUCAUUUUUUCUUCACACAGCAGUGGACUGGAAUGGCCUUCCUCGUGACAUUGCAGCCAUCACGUGUUCAUCAACGUUUGCGCAAAACAUAAAUACAUAUUGUUUGUCAGAAGAUCACUCUCUGUAACCUCCAUUUGUUAACCCACCCCUUAUGUAAUACCCCCUCACCGGGGUCUUUAAGGUAAUAAAGUGAAGUGAAGCGAAGUGAAACACCACCACAUAGUAAAAGAAGAUGAGAACAGGUAAAACCGCCUACCACGCUAAUCGUCGAGAUAGUUCAUCUCACCAGAAAACAGGUCAAGAGACGGCUUACUGAUUCAUCUGCUCCCAACUUGUUGAUGAAAUACAGCUCAAUUAUUUCCCGCCCCCGUUUCAUUCUAUAUCUUUUUUCGCAUCUUCUCAAGCUCAGGUGUGCAGUGAGCUGACGCACACUUCUUUCUGCAAUGGAGAGCCAAGUUGCUUCCCGUGGCGCACUUAAAGUUGUUCUUAUGUUCUCUUAGACGUUCGGUGAUGCACCUGCCCGUUUGAUCAAUGUACACCAGCCUGCACGUCAGAGGGAUUUCGUAGAACACGUUCCUUUGGCAUCCAAGCGAGUAGGCCUCUUUCCUGUUGAAUUCUUGCAUAUAAUUUUGUACGCUGUGCUACACGAAAAAAUUCUGCAAUGAAAUACCAGCUGGCCUGCUUAGACACCCUUGUCCAAACUUGCCCGUGUUGUGCCAUUUGUGUCUUGGCUUUCAUUAUACUGCAUUCUUUUAUUUGUACUGCCGUGCAGUGGCACCGUAUUCAAGUUAUGCUUUUACUUGUGCAAUUAGUGAAAUUAAAAGUACCAAUUGAAAUGAAAAAAUAUUAUUAGAAAAAAAAGCUCUGUAAAUUGAGCAAAAAAAGUUUCAGUAUAAUUGGUACAAUCGUCUUCUUUUUUUACAGUAGAGAGAGGGUCAGUAGAUACAUAGGCUGAUGAUCACACGUAACUAAACCACUUUGGUGUCAGUUAAAGGGACACUAAAAAGAAACAAUGAGUUGUUUUAGAUGAAUUAACUGCACUUUGAGAACUCCAAUGUCAUAAGUUUCACUGUCAUGAGUUCUUUAUUACGGAGAAAGUCAAGGUUGAAGUUUCUAUGAAUUAUGACUAAGCUCGAACAAAGACGUAGAAGAGGACUGACAUGAACAGAGUGCUGUUGUCCGUUCGUGCUUACUCACAAUUCAUGGAUGCAAACCAACUAGCCCACCAACGUGUUGUUUCAUUUUUUACUUUUGCGCCGUAAUCUCCGCUCGUCAUGUAAAAAAUUCUACAAUUUAUUUUUUAUAUUUUCGUGACAUUAGCUCGAUGAAAUUUUCUGAAACUUCAUGUGCUAAGUCUAUGGCAUCCGCAGAUUACGAUGUACUUCGAUUUCAUUGAUUAGAAGCUAUGUGGGAUGGUUUCGAAAUUGAUGACGUCACAGUGUUUGGUGCGGGAAUCUCUAGGUGGCGUUUCCACCCGCAGUUUCUUUUCGCGCGUUUUCUCGCAUGCCAAGUGUCAUGUUACAGUAAGAGUGGCGUUUUUGAGAUUGUGAAAUUGUACUUUACUAAUAUGGCAAAAAUUGUUUUGCUCUUUAGUGUCCCUUUAAGUAUCAAUGUUUUUUGGUUGCGUGUGUGUGACAGCAGUCUGAAUGUGUAGCGACACUUACUUAGCUAGAGAUAUAAAAAUUAUUAGGUGUAACAAUAUGAAGCUACAAAUUCAAGCACUUGGUUAAUAUUGAGAAUUGGUAUGUGACCUUAAUCCACAAUUUAUGUGCAACGUCCCCUUAAAUGUUCUCUAUUUCUAAUUAUUGAAAAGCUAUGUGUUUUGAUGCAGUAUGUUUCUCAUGUCAAAGUCACCAAAGAUGUACAGUUUAUUGAAGGCUGACUGAAGCAGCUACUUGCAGAGCGCUCCAUUGUUGGGGAGGGUCUUGUGAAUGAAUUGUGAGUGAAAGGGUUAAAUUGAACUGAAACAAAACAAGAGUGAAGAAUUCACACAUGUGGAAGAACAUGUGUGUGUCCUUUUGGAAAAAUGAAGGCUUCUGUGCACAAUAACAACCUACAGUGUAACAUUAGGAUAUUAUCUUGUCCAAGUUUGUGCGAGGUGGGUCAGCUGAAUGAUAGAUGCUUUUGCACUAUCAGUGACAGUCUUUGGUCAUCUAUUUUUGCCUAUUUUAUGUUCUCAUCAUUUUCACACUCAUUCUUCUGUAUCAUAAUGGUGUGGAGAUUAUAGCUACAUAUUGGAUUGGAUAAACUUUCAUUUUUUUUUAUUGGAUAAACUCUUGUUCACGAAUUUUGAUGAGUGCAAGGUUAAAAAGAGUGUCAGGCUUGUGUAUGGUAUUUCACCAUGCUUGUAACUGGUGUGCCUUUUGGUGUGCAGGUGUUCAGGCCUGCCCGUUUUUGCCCUGAGGUGUUUCGUACAUUUGAUGUGUGCUGUGAUCUGAUAGUGCAUAUCACCCUGACUGACUGACUGUGCAGACAUAUCAGACUGUUGAGCAUUCAAGCUUUCUGUCAUGGCAACACAAGUUCAGAGUUUAUGGCUCAACGUGAAUUGUGCAGUUAUAGAAGACAUACUAUAUACACAAGACAUGUCACAUCCAUCUCACUCCAAUACGUUACAUUCAGACAGCACUCAGUGGCCAAGCUUUCUGUUUUGCUGCACUCACAUGAUGUUUGUGAAGUUGUUCUAGUUAGAUUUGACAAUGUGGCUGUUCAUAAUCACACUGCGAUGAGAGCAAACAAGAUAUGUAUUUGGAUUACGACAGAAACGAAAAGGUUCUCCAUAAUCUUGAAAGAACCAUGUUAUAUCUUAACAGUGCAAAAACAAAAUAAGGCACAUGGACAAGAAAAGCACAAAGGUGACACUUUCAACUGAGGUUGUCCGCAGAAAAGCGAGAAAGUACACGAAAAUCGCAUGAUACGACAACAACUAGAAUGAUGUGUAAGGGUUCCUAUAUCACAUGUUUUAUGUAUACACAUAGAAUAAAUAGCUAAAUUAUUUUGCUGUGAUAUUGAUAGAUGGCAUGCUGGUGUAUUACCUAAGUACACUUAAGUAAUCUCUGGUGCCUGUUAUUUCCUCUGAAGUCCCGGAACUGGUUCGCUCCAGCACCAGGCACUAAAUGUAUAUUGGUCUGUAGUGUCACAUUUGCUGCUUGAAGCACCAAGUGCCUGCAGGAUCUAACUUGUCUACUAAUUUGUCUAAAUAAUACUAAACAAAUUACAGAAGCAGACACAGUAUUGUCUAAUUGAGCACGGAACACUCUAUGUAGUUCUUUGCACUUUGUAGUUCAAUGUCACUGCCCUUCAUAUAGUAAUGAAUUGCUGUGCAUAGUGUCUUUGUUCUUUCAUUCUUGUGUGUUGUAGUGUUUGAGUUUAAAUGCACUGAAAGUUAAGGGUAAAAUUGGUGCUUGUUUCAUGUUUGCUACAUAUCUAUAGCAUGUUCAUGGUUUCAGGUUAAAGUUGCAGCUGUGGCAAGCACACUUUUAUUGUGCCGAGUUGGCAAGUUUGAGACAAAUGUGACCUUCCCCAUCUCAUUUAUUUUAGUAGCUUCCACAAUUUAUUAAUGUGGAGAAAUCACCAAAGUCACUGCGGACGCCACUAGUAUUGGAGAAGCGAGAUACCCACGUAGCAGUGUCAUUUUAUAUUUAUCAUCACUGUGUGAUUUGCAAACAUCAGUGAUCCUGUUGGAAGCAGCUUUUAAUGCAGCGCAUGAGUUCAGUUCCCCACCUGCAUCUAGUUCUUUGAGGAUGCUCCUUUUAAAAGGAUAGGGCCACAAAUCAGCCAAGCUAUGUCAAGUUUUCUGUACAUAACAAAAGAAAAUGUGCUCGUGUGCAUUGGGAUUGUCAGUACUUACACCUAUGCGGCAGGCAGUGUGCAAGUUUACUAUAGCAUUUCACAUUCUUUUUCUAUACUUAAAGACCAAUUUUUACUAUGCAUUGCACCUGCUUUUUUUUAGAGUUCGUGUUGAAAAAGAUGCUAACGCAUGCGUUUUACACUGUACUAGGACUUGCUGUUAUGGAAAUGAGGGGUGAAUAGUAUUGCAUAACCCUGGAUACAUAAACAAAGCAGGAAUGGGUGGAAGGGAACAUGAAUAGCUUGUAGCAAAAACACACAUAUCAUGUUGAUUGCUCUUUCUGAGUAGCAGAAUGUGACAACCAAUGCAUUGAACACUUGCUGAGCCGGGAAUUAAUGCGAAAAUUUAAUACUGGCUCUGAAUCGACUGUUUCAAGCUCUUUCAUUAUAGUCUCAUUGGAAGAAAAAGCUUUUUGAGCCUACCAGCUUAACGGGACAUGAUGUUCUGUAGAGCUGUGGUGUGGUGCUGUAGACCCCCCAUCUGUAGACUGCUCUUUAAGUGAGGCUCACUGUAGCUUUGUAAUGAUUCACUCAAAUGCACACUUAGUGCUCAAUGGCUUAUAGCCUGAUGCAAAAACGUCCUCACCAUGACAACUUACAGUGUGCAGCAUCACUAGAGAACUGCUGGCAACUUACUCAAAGUGUUUAUGUUUCUACAUUUUUGCUCCCUUUUGAGCUUGUGCUAACACACUGGAUAGUGUGUAUUUUAUGUUUACAUGUUGAUAUUAAGUGGUGUAGCUGUCUCUACUUAUAUAUGCAAAUGAGGUGCUUUUAUAUUUUGAGUUACCGUGAAAGCUGUCACUUACGUGCAGCUGGAUCAUGACGGGUCAUCAAUUAGCUUUUCAAUCAUCGCUGUGGCCAUUCUUACAUAGUUAUGACUUCUGCAUGUCUUUCAUUUGCUCCUGAAGGCCUACACGUUUUGCAAAUGAGCGUGUGAUAUGGGAGAAGGAAGUAUAUAGGUAUCUUUGUUAAGGUGAGCACGGCAUCUGCGUCUUUAUUGCAUUAAAGUGACAGAAGUGGUAAUUGAGCAUCAGCCAUGUCACUCGCCAUGUCAUUGCUCUUUCCAUGUCUCCGCAGCCGCUCUACUUGUUUCAGUCACUGCAGUGACAUGCAGCACGGUAUCACUGACUGGUGCUAGUGUGAAAAUUCUGGGCAUUUAUGAUAGUGCGCAUUGUAUGAUUCUGCUUUUGAAAGUGUUGCUCGUGCAAAGAUUUGAUAGACUGGAGUCUGUAAUAAGCCUUCUUAGAAAUGGAGCUAUGACUGGUUGGCACAGUUGAACAACAGGGAAGCUUCUUUUAACACUUUUGUCUGCACUGACCACGAGCUGCAGUGCCCCCCUGACUGUAGCAGGUAUAGUAAGUAGAAGACCUGCAUUUUAGGUGCAUGAGCAAAAGUUGCAUUUGCAUGCACUGGAAGCAGCGCUAUCUAAUUGUAACAAUGGCGCAAGGAGGUUUUGAUCUUAACAACUCCUAAAAUUUGUAUCUAUUAUUCUGCUCCACUGUUAGCACACCUGGUCUAAAAGAAAAAGAAACUAACCAACAAAAAGCUCUUGUAUUGAAACAAAACUUGGCAGAACAUGCUUGGCCGCUGUCUCAAAAGGCUCAGGUUUAAUCUCAGCCCUGGUGGUCCCAUUUCGAUCCAUGUGAAAUGCAAGAGAUUCAUGUGCUCAGAUUCAAGCGCAUGUUCAGUAACACUAGGUGGUUGAAAUUUUCAGAAGUCUUCACGACAACAUGCCUCAUUAUCGUAUUGUUGUUCUGGCACGAAAAAACCAUAGCCGUUAUUACUGAUGUGGAAUAGAAAUGUCUGUAAAAAAAUAUGUAGCAAUUUUCGGUUGUAUCUUUUGUUCAUAAGUGUUCAAAGUGCUUCACCCAUUGACCAGCAUAUUCAAAAAAACAUUUAUUUCCCAUUUGCGGUUCCUAUGACUAUUUGAACCAGAUGGUGCAUUUGCUGAAAAGAGGGAAGUAGUACUAAUUGCGAGAACAUGGACAUAAGGUCUUCAUGGCAAGCCAAACAGGUGAGCCUUAACAGUGAAAGGAACAUUUAGCGUAGAGCCCUCACAUCAUUGGUAACUUAUCCAGCUCCAAGAUUUUUGCAUCACCUUGUAACUUUCUGCGUUUAGAACUAACUUAUCAAAGGCAUUGACUCAGAAGAGGCCCUCAGACGGCCUUACAAGACGUGCACUCCAACCUGCAUCUGAAAUUAUCAAAUCAUGGUUCCCACGCAAAAAGAUGUUUUACAUUGCUGGAACUUUCGAAAAGCUUUGAAAAAGCUCUCGAGACGGCUUUCUGCACCAUCCAACAAAAAUAUUUCCUGAUUUGCAAUCUCCUUUCCGUCAUUUAUUGCAACUUUACGUCCUGUCCCUGGUUUUGUCAUUACCCUUUUGUGCUUUAAUGUGCAUUCUACCUGGGCCUGCACAAUCAUACUUUAUUGUGAGUUUUGUUAUUGGUGCCGCAGCUUGGGUUUCGAUCACAUUUCGCUAAGCCCAGCAUGUUCAAGAAGUGCAUUCUAUUUCUUGAAGGCAGCAUGGCAGCACAGGCAAUGCUUGCAACUGAAACUUAUUGAAAGGAACAUUACAGAAACAUAGACACAAACAAACUGUGCAGUUGCCGAAACAUGACACUGAUCACUUCAUGCCAACUGCAUGUGUGCAGACAAAAGUGGGUAUUUUUCUUUUUUUUUUUUUUUGGUUGAGUCAUUUGUCUUUUUGUUUAUUUAUCACAUUUCUUGCAGUGCUAGUGUUGCAAAGAUCACAGUACAUAUCCAAAUUGACUAAAAGCGACACAAGCAGUAAUUGAAUAUAAGCUGACCAACUAGAUUGUAGCUGUUCUUGUUCUUGGCCAGCUGUGUACUUAGCAUGCCCUCUUAAUCGUCUUAAAGUUUUUGCAAGUUGUUUCUUGUAGAAAUAAUGUUGGGCACAAUAAUUCGAACACUUUGCUGUGGUCAGUUAUUUUUUUGCACUAUAGUACAUACUCUUCCAAAUUUGUUACACACAAAAUUGCACUUUUAAUGCUAUAUUGGGAACCUGCCUUUUGGAUGCCAUAUGACUUUUCUACCAUAAGGAAUAAUAGUAAUGCUUAUUUUUUAAAAUCUUAUGCUCUCGUUGCGAUGCAAACCCCGCUUUCAUCUGCUUGAAAAGAUUUUUGCAUUGAGAACUCGUGAUAUGGCUUGGUGCUUUAUUCUGGAACGAACAAGUCUGUGUGAUCGAAAGAAAAAUCUGCUCGUGGGAUGCCUACAAGGUUAUCUGAGUGCUGGUUGAAAAAACUGAGGUUGAAAUACUUGUUACAUAUGAGAGCUAGAAAUCUUGUUUGACAUGAAGAUGGUGGAAAUGCUGUGCAUAAAAAGUGCCAUUGAGACUUUUAAUUUUCUUGUCAUGAAGGAAAAUCAGUUUUUUUCUUCUUAUAGGCCAGAUAGUGAUCUUAUUGCUAACAAUGUUUUCACACUUACACUGUAUGUUUGUUUAACCAACUUCUGCUUUCCCCCUCCGACCCCUCUCUUUCUUUUUUUUUAUGACAGCUUGCAUGAAGUGACAAAUGCCUUCAUUCAGUGACUAUGCAAUGGACCUGCGCAGAUAUUUCUGCUGUUUUCUUUUAUUUUUUCAAUGCUCUUCAGUUGCUAGUUGGUGCGUGCAAUCUUAGUCCUUUGUGUCAUGCUUCCAUCAUUUUAUUGUGAAACCAGUACCACAAGCCCAAAUGUUAAUCUUGCUGUAGUCUAGUGCUUCCCUAUGACGUGUAAUCACAAUAUGUUUAUUUUUUUGGGAUAUGUUACACUUUAUAUAGCCCAUGUUUUAUAUAGUAAAUGCAUGUGUAAUAUUUUCAACCUUUUUUUCAUUGCUAUGUAUAUAGCUUUUUCACAUUUUCAGUGCUGAUUUUGUCAGUUUAUGCACGGCCCCUCUGGCUUCUGUUGAUGGCAACAUUUAGGAUUUUGCCUUCUGCACCAUUGACGAGGGUUCAGCCUUGGUGCUAUUGGUCACCUUGCAGAUGAACCCAGAAACUGCUGGGAACCACGUGCACAAGCAUUGUGAUACAAGCUACUACACUGUACAGUGCAUUUAUGCACGAUUUUAUGUUCAUUAGAGAAUAAACACUGUUGUGCUGAAAAAUUA